This 746-nucleotide ribosomal RNA is filed under the name uncultured Oribacterium sp. RNAcentral's name for it is "bacterial SSU rRNA". It matches the Rfam family "Bacterial small subunit ribosomal RNA", at positions 28 to 776 of the family's 1533-position model. The record is from RNAcentral. Lineage: Bacteria; Bacillati; Bacillota; Clostridia; Lachnospirales; Lachnospiraceae.
GAUGAACGCUGGCGGCGUGCCUAACACAUGCAAGUCGAACGAGAUGCGUAUCGGAAAGCUUCGGCCGGAAGAUACGUUAUCUAGUGGCGGACGGGUGAGUAACACGUGGGUAACCUGCCUUAUGGAGGGGGAUAACAGAGAGAAAUCACUGCUAAUACCGCAUAAGCACACAGUACCGCAUGGUACAGGGUGAAAAGAUUUAUCGCCAUAAGAUGGACCCGCGUCUGAUUAGCCAGUUGGCAGGGUAAAAGCCUACCAAAGCAACGAUCAGUAGCCGAUCUGAGAGGAUGACCGGCCACAUUGGGACUGAGACACGGCCCAAACUCCUACGGGAGGCAGCAGUGGGGAAUAUUGCACAAUGGGGGAAACCCUGAUGCAGCGACGCCGCGUGAGUGAAGAAGUAUUUCGGUAUGUAAAGCUCUAUCAGCAGGGAAGAUAAUGACAGUACCUGACUAAGAAGCCCCGGCUAACUACGUGCCAGCAGCCGCGGUAAUACGUAGGGGGCAAGCGUUAUCCGGAUUUACUGGGUGUAAAGGGAGCGUAGACGGAAUGGCAAGUCUGAAGUGAAAUACCCGGGCUCAACCUGGGAACUGCUUUGGAAACUGUUGUUCUAGAGUGUUGGAGAGGUAAGUGGAAUUCCUGGUGUAGCGGUGAAAUGCGUAGAUAUCAGGAAGAACACCGGAGGCGAAGGCGGCUUACUGGACAAUAACUGACGUUGAGGCUCGAAAGCGUGGGGAUCAAACAGG